Molecule: ribosomal RNA, 388 nt
Filed under: uncultured Methanosarcina sp.
Lineage: Archaea; Methanobacteriati; Methanobacteriota; Methanomicrobia; Methanosarcinales; Methanosarcinaceae
Also listed under: 2 other names
Description: bacterial SSU rRNA
Rfam family: Archaeal small subunit ribosomal RNA
Source: RNAcentral
GCGCGAAAACUUUACAAUGCGGGAAACCGUGAUAAGGGGACACCGAGUGCCAGCAUCAUAUGCUGGCUGUCCGGAUGUGUAAAAUACAUCCGUUAGCAAGGGCCGGGCAAGACCGGUGCCAGCCGCCGCGGUAACACCGGCGGCCCGAGUGGUGAUCGUGAUUAUUGGGUCUAAAGGGUCCGUAGCCGGUUUGGUCAGUCCUCCGGGAAAUCUGAUAGCUCAACUAUUAGGCUUUCGGGGGAUACUGCCAGACUUGGAACCGGGAGAGGUAAGAGGUACUACAGGGGUAGGAGUGAAAUCUUGUAAUCCCUGUGGGACCACCUGUGGCGAAGGCGUCUUACCAGAACGGGUUCGACGGUGAGGGACGAAAGCUGGGGGCACGAACCGG